RNAcentral lists this non-coding RNA (24 nucleotides) under Arabidopsis thaliana (thale cress). The record is from RNAcentral. Lineage: Eukaryota; Viridiplantae; Streptophyta; Magnoliopsida; Brassicales; Brassicaceae.
CGACUGGUCGAUGGGCCGUCACAC